RNAcentral lists this ribosomal RNA (254 nucleotides) under uncultured prokaryote. RNAcentral's name for it is "partial 16S ribosomal RNA". It matches the Rfam family "Bacterial small subunit ribosomal RNA", at positions 524 to 776 of the family's 1533-position model. The record is from RNAcentral.
UACGUAGGACCCAAGCGUUAUCCGGAUUGACUGGGCGUAAAGAGUUGCGUAGGUGGUUUGUUAAGCGAAUGGUGAAAUCUUGUGGCUCAACCAUAAGGCUAUUAUUCGAACUGACAAACUCGAGAACGGGAGAGGUAUCUGGAAUUCCCAGUGUAGGAGUGAAAUCCGUAGAUAUUGGGAGGAACACCAAUGGCGUAGGCAGGAUACUAGACCGUUUCUGACACUAAGGCACGAAAGCGUGGGGAGCGAACUGG